Cervus elaphus (red deer) is the source of this 2133-nucleotide long non-coding RNA. RefSeq lists it as uncharacterized. NCBI's taxonomy places the organism in Eukaryota, Metazoa, Chordata, Mammalia, Artiodactyla, Cervidae. The record is from RefSeq and is a predicted model, not a curated record. The transcript is spliced from 3 exons.
GCUGGGGUCACCUUGGCCUGGAGUCCAGCUCUUUUCCUCACAUGACUUGACCUCUGAGCCCUGGGUUGUUCACGUGUGUGUGUGUGUGUGUGUGUGUGUGUGUGUGUGAGUUGGUGGUGGGGUGGUCAUAACCACAGCUCACAGGGGGUGCUGCUCUGAGGGCUGGAAGGGAAGGUGUGUGCAGCCGAAGCCAUUGUCCUGUUAAAGCUUAAACGUCAUUCCCUGCUUCAUAAUCUUCCUCUCGACCAAACUGGGAUGACAGCGGUCCCACAUCCCACAGGGCUGUGGGGAUGAAAUGAGGUAAUUCACAUAAAGCUCUGACACAGGUUUCGACGACAGCAAUUGUCCACGGAAUUUAGAUGCUGCUGUUACUCCGCUGUUACUAAUACCGAUGAUCGACCCGCUGCCCGCUGGCAAGUCCCAGGAAUAAUGAGGAUCCCCAUCCCAGGCGGCUAUGAGGAUGAACUGAGGUAACUCAUGUAAAAUUCUGUGCAGAGCCCAUUUGGAUGACAGCCAAGUCUCCAGAGAAGUUAGGGACUGCUGUUGUGAUGUGCCUCUUAAUAGUGGUGAAUUACAGCUACUGGAAAGACCUCUCUGUGACUUGGGGAACACCCGCUCCGCUCAUGGCCCCAUCCUCACUUCUGGGAGACAGCACUGGCACGCUGGUGGGAAGGAUGAAGGGAAAUGCAAACCCCAGAUUCUGAGGUCAUGAGUUCCUUGCAGGGAUUCCUGAAGACUUGUCACCCCGAUGAUGAGAGAGUGAGUUCCCGAGUCUUGUCCAUUUUAUUUCCCAAAUACCCCUGAGACUGGUCCCUUUCCCCCAUCCUGUCUCUGGCCAGGCCACCACCCACUCUCCCCGGAUGACACAGCAGCUUCCUCACUGACCCUCUUGCCUCCACUCCCUUCUCCAUACAACAGCCAGGAGGAAUGUCUUAAAAACUGCAAAUCCGAUCAUGCCAGCCUCAGCUUAAAUCUCUCAGUGUAUCCCCACAGCUCCUGGACAGAGUCUGAGGCCCUUCGCCUAGCCCACAAGGCCCCCUCGCCCCGUCCACUCAGCGCUUGGCACCCUCUCUGUGCCCCUUGCGGGCCUCCUUUAUACUCCUGCCUCGCCCGGCACACGCCGCUUUCCCCUCGUGGCCUGGUGAACUCCGGCACGUUCCCAGGGCUCGGUGCGUGCUGCCUCCUCCAGGAUGCCUUCCCUGACCCUACAGCUUUCCCUCAACAUAGUCCUCAUCAAGCCGCAUUGCAUCUUCAUCUGUGACCACCUGGACUACGAGCAGGAACGUGCCUCGUUUCCUUCAUUGGGGGGUCCCCGGUAGACACCCAGUUUCUGACACAUAGAAGGUGAGUGAGGGAGCUGACCCUCAGGAGGGUAGUAGACUCAGUGUUAUAGACUCAGCUCUCGAUGGCUGGUUUUUUGGAUUCUCUAUCCUGCCCCAGUCUUGACCUGACCUGGGGGUCCCUACAGUGACCACAAUGCCCUGAAGAUGACGUGGGGAGUCUGAUGGGUGGUUUGUGACGCCAGCCCCAGCGAGGCCCAGCGUGGCUUCAAGAAGUGGCGUUUAAGGAAAAUUCGUCCAGACAGGGUGGUCUUGGCUCCUAGUCCAGGCCUGCGCUCAGCCCUACCCGCUGGCCAUGCCCACCGCCUCUCCUAGGGGAGGGACCAAAGUCCCUCAGAAGCCAACUUUGGGAUACGACUUCAUGCCAGCGAUUUAUGAAGGACUGGAGGACGGGGCAGGAUGGGGAAGAGGAAGGAACUGAGCGAAGGGAUGAUUUCAGGCAAAGUCCCAGCUUUAACUCGAGCCCACAGGGGACUCUGGGGGAUGCGUGCGUUACCCCUCAUGGUGGUCCCGCCCCAAGACCAGGGAGUCAUCAGCUAUGGACCAGCCCGGGCUCAUGUGAACGCUGGCACUUCCUGGCCUCUCUUCUUUGCACUCGGGAGCAAAGAAGGUUUGCGUAGCCCCGGGGCAGUUCUCUAAAGGAGAGUGCAGACCGACCAGCCAGUCUGAGCACAAGCUGGGACAGGGGGUGGGGGGGUGGGGCACCGACCUUCACGCUGUGCCGCCUCUCCAAGCUCCCCAUCUCCAGGAGACCCUUCCUCAAUUCUCUGAUUCGUCCUGUUGGCGUUUUCUC